CGGACGGGUGAGUAACGCGUGGAAAACCUGCCGUAUACUGGGGGAUAACACUUAGAAAUAGGUGCUAAUACCGCAUAAGCGCACAGCUUCGCAUGAAGCGGUGUGAAAAACUCUGGUGGUAUACGAUGGUUCCGCGUCUGAUUAGCUAGUUGGUGGGGUAAUGGCCUACCAAGGCAGCGAUCAGUAGCCGGCCUGAGAGGGUGAACGGCCACAUUGGGACUGAGACACGGCCCAAACUCCUACGGGAGGCAGCAG
This 255-nucleotide ribosomal RNA is filed under the name uncultured bacterium. RNAcentral describes it as "partial 16S ribosomal RNA". It matches the Rfam family "Bacterial small subunit ribosomal RNA", at positions 99 to 354 of the family's 1533-position model. The record is from RNAcentral.